GAUGAAGAACGCAACGAAAUGCGAUAAGUAAUGUGAAUUGCAGAAUUCAGUGAAUCAUCGUAUCUUUGAACGCACAUUGCGCCCGCCAGUAUUCUGGCGGGCAUGCCUGUUCGAGCGUCAUUUCAACCAUCAAGCCCCAGGCUUGUGUUGGGGACCUGCGGCUGCCGCAGGCCCUGAAAACCAGUGGCGGGCUCGCUGUCACACCGGGCGUAGUAGAUUUUAUCUCGCUCUGGGCGUGCUGCGGGUUCCGGCCGUUAAAAAACCCUUUUAACCCAAGGUUGACCUCGGAUCAGGUAGGAAUACCCGCUGAACUUAAGCAUAUCAAUAAGCGGGGGA
Molecule: unclassified non-coding RNA, 336 nt
Filed under: soil metagenome
Description: partial contains 5.8S ribosomal RNA, internal transcribed spacer 2, and large subunit ribosomal RNA
Rfam family: 5.8S ribosomal RNA (bases 1-120)
Source: RNAcentral